This 1163-nucleotide long non-coding RNA is filed under the name Ornithorhynchus anatinus (platypus). Its description in RNAcentral is "lncRNA (ENSOANG00000042090.1)". The record is from RNAcentral. Lineage: Eukaryota; Metazoa; Chordata; Mammalia; Monotremata; Ornithorhynchidae.
UCAGCUCCCAAGAGGCCUCGAGGGGCCCAGGCUUGGCCAGUCUCUUGGCCAGUCUCUUGGCCCGCCUGUUGGCCCGCCUCUUGGCCCGCCUCUUGGCCCCAGUUGGUGGCGAGUUGAGUUCGGCUGUUGGUGCAGGGGCAGGCUCAGAGUCACAGAGGGCAGGAGGUUAAUUGCAGGCAGGGAUGGAGUCAGCAUCAUUUUACGGAUCUUUCUGAACCCCGUGGUGCUCGUCUGUGAACCCGCUGUCUGCGGUGUCGGGGACUGAAACCAGGAGAUCGGAAGCUUGGCUCAGAAAAUUAUGCAUAUGGCGCUAUGUGCCCGGUGUCACGCGUGCGACGUCGUCCACUUCUGUAUGUCCAGUGUCGUCGGGGACCAUCCGGGGCCAUGCCAGAUGUACUCGAUGAACACGGAUGCCGACGCCUUCCUCCGGCCGUGCUGCUCUUCGUUGAUUCAACGUAAAGCACUGAUGAUGAUGCAGCCCCAGCAGUACUGUGAGGUUAAAGUUACGGUCACCACAAAAUCUUCUCAGAGACCCACAACUUUGGAGCACAUUUUCCUGCUUUACUGAGGAGACUAUCAUGCCGGAUCAAAUCAGAAUCUUUGCUCAAGUCAAGAUAUUGCUAUCACUUCCUCUUAUUUUACUGCUUGAGAUUUCUUUUUUUUCUGCGAGUUAUUUUUUAGUUUGCUGCGUAUUAUCGUCAUCAGUGGAAUUUAUCGAGAGCGUAUUGUGUGCAGAGCACUGUACUGAGUACUUGGAAAAGUACAGUACAACAGAGUCGACAGGCGCGUUCCUUACCCACAGUGAGCUCUGAGUCUAGAGGGGGAGCUUCCUCCGUGUUACGGUUGGUUCGUGUUAAGGAUGGAAACAUAACUAGCGACAAGCACCUCCUUCAUCAUGGGCCCUUCCUUCCCUUUCUAGUCAGAUGUCCCUCAGCUAAGAUUUGUGCCAUCUCUUGGGUCUUUCUCGGUGUUGGAUUCUGAGAGGUGACCCAGCCGUGACCUUUCAGGCGGCAGGCUAGACAGUAGGUUGCCACCGCUGCGCCUGCCCGGCAAUUAGCAGCUAAUUGCCCCGGAGCUAGUUCAGAAGGUCAGGGGAGUCAGGUCAGAGGCUCACCCUCACUCCAACGGGCAAGAUGCGUUUUCCGGGGCGCUCGGAAUCGCCG